Molecule: ribosomal RNA, 466 nt
Filed under: uncultured archaeon
Lineage: Archaea
Description: bacterial SSU rRNA
Rfam family: Archaeal small subunit ribosomal RNA
Source: RNAcentral
UGAGAGGUGGUGCAUGNCCGUCGUCAGCUCGUGCCGUGAGAUGUCCUGUUAAGUCAGGUAACGAGCGAGAUCCCUGCCACUAGUUGCUAUCAUUACUCUCAGGAGUAGUGGGGGCGAAUUAGUGGGACCGCCACAGUUAAUGUGGAGGAAGGAAGGGGCCACGGCAGGUCAGUAUGCCCCGAAACUCUGGGGCCACACGCGGGCUGCAAUGGUAGUGACAAUGGGCUCCUAACUCGAAAGAGAGAGGCAAUCCACAAACACUACCACAGUUAUGACUGAGGGCUGUAACUCGCCCUCACGAAUAUGGAAUCCCUAGUAACUGCGUGUCAUUACCGCGCGGUGAAUACGUCCCUGCUCCUUGCACACACCGCCCGUCGUUUCAUCGAAGUUUGCUUUUAGUGAGGUGAUGUUUUAUUGGCAUUAUCGAACUUGAGGUAAGUGACGAGGGAAAAGUCGUAACAAGGUA